This 75-nucleotide transfer RNA is filed under the name Blumeria graminis f. sp. tritici 96224. RNAcentral describes it as "tRNA-Tyr (GTA) (tRNA-Tyr-GTA-6-1)". It matches the Rfam family "tRNA". Rfam says of the family: Transfer RNA (tRNA) molecules are approximately 80 nucleotides in length. Their secondary structure includes four short double-helical elements and three loops (D, anti-codon, and T loops). Lineage: Eukaryota; Fungi; Ascomycota; Leotiomycetes; Helotiales; Erysiphaceae. RNAcentral also lists the same sequence under 2 other names. The record is from RNAcentral.
CCCUCGGUCGUCUAGUUGGUUUAUGGCGUCCGGCUGUAAACCGGAAUGUCGCGCGUUCGACUCACGCCUGAGGGA